Long non-coding RNA from Saccostrea echinata, 1589 nucleotides. RefSeq lists it as uncharacterized. The record is from RefSeq and is a predicted model, not a curated record. The transcript has 6 exons. NCBI's taxonomy places the organism in Eukaryota, Metazoa, Mollusca, Bivalvia, Ostreida, Ostreidae.
AAUAUUAACAAAAUCCGUAAACGUCCGAACAGCUUUCAUUGCGAGAACUCUCGAGAAUUAGAUGAGACCAACACGCGAGAGGUGAAAAUCGAGAGAAAUAUUCAACUUGAAAAAAGAGGUAAAACUUUAUAUUUUCUCGAUUUGCAAGGUUUUUAAAUUGCAUAAAGUUGAAAAACAAACGUUUCUUUACAUGAAAAGUGAAAGUAUGUAUGAAGUUUCUCGUUCUGUCACGUGCUAUUGUACAUGAAAGUGUCAAAACUGCACCUCUCGAUUUUGUAAACAUUUUUCCACGUGCAAGGGAGUAGUUGUGUCGGUAAAGAUGAACACACAUACACUGGUUUAGGAAACAAAAGCACUCGUUUAAGUACAUGUUGAACAGCCUUCUCCAUAAAACGGAUAUUCUGAAGACAGUGAUGACAUGAAAGUUCAAGAUUUGCCUAUUGUGAGCAUUCAGAUACCUCGGUAAUACAGAAUGGGUCAAAAAAUGCACAAAGGUUAAUCACAUCAUGCUGCAUUGCACUGUAACAGAACAAUUUAUCUGAUGCAAGCAUCAACCAUGAGAAUAACAAAGGAGGUUAGGUCCAAAGAGAAGGCAAUGUAACAAAUGAUUGCUGAAUUCAUGAGGAUUGGGAUGAAUCUUUUCUAUUCUUAAGAAGUGUCCAAACAUCAUUUGAGGAUCCCUUCCUAAGAAAAGAAGAAUUUGCCUAUUCAGAGAGUCCAUAGUUUACAAAAUAUUAUGUAACAUAAAACUUCUGUCUUCAUAUUUUAUUCAAUUAUAAAACAGUAGUAGAAUAUGUUUAGAAAAAAGUAGGGGGCUAUAACUAUCUCUCUCUGGUACUGCAUGUCUAAUAUACAUGUAUUACGUAUUUUAAUUACACAUGUAUUUUAAAACAGAUUAUCAGUAAAAGAAAGAAACACAAUGUUAGUCUUUCAGUGGCUUUUAUUUAGGUUUUAAUAUUAUUUAAAAAAAAAUGGAACUUGAAUCUGUUUAAAUAGGAAGGAAAACAAAAAACUAGAAUUCAGUAGGUACAUGUACAUGUAUUUAGUUUUGUUUAUUAUAAGUUGUUUAAAAUUUAGGGAGCUUGUGAAGGAUAUCUAGAUAUUAUUUAAAAAUUUAUUCUUCAUAGUUAAACAAUUUAAUUUUUAUUAUAACAUAUGCUCUGUAAUUAACAACUUCAUUUGUUGUACAACAUUCCAUUGUCUGUCAACCUGUAGGAGUUCAUUUCUUGUAAAUAAAAAUGAAUACAUGAUGUUUGUUCACAUUGCCAUUUUUUUUUUAUAUACGAGUCCUGAGUUAUAAAUUUUGUACAUACCUGUAUGUACAUUUUUUGUUAAAUAAUUUAACUUUAACCAAAUAUUAAUUGAAUGUAAUUUUGUAGGUAGAUACCUUCCAGAAAUAUUUACAUCUACCAGAUACAUGUGAAAUCAAAUACUGUAUACUUGAAAAUAAGGAUAUUUAUUAAAUGGAAAUUAAGUUACACAUUCAUGUAUAGUGAAAUUAGAUAGACUGUGUUGUUGUUAUGUUUAUACUAACUCAACAUAAACAUCGAUUGGAUGUGAUCCUGAUUAAUUAAAUAAAGGAUAUGAAA